GCGGCAUGCCUUACACAUGCAAGUCGAACGGCAGCACGGGUGCUUGCACCUGGUGGCGAGCGGCGAACGGGUGAGUAACACGUGGGAACCUUCCUAGGGGUACGGAACAACUCAGGGAAACUUGAGCUAAUACCGUAUACGUCCGUGAGGAGAAAGAUUUAUCGCCCUUAGACGGGCCCGCGUCGGAUUAGCUAGUUGGUGGGGUAACGGCCUACCAAGGCGACGAUCCGUAGCUGAUCUUAGAGGAUGAUCAGCCACACUGGGACUGAGACACGGCCCAGACUCCUACGGGAGGCAGCAGUGGGGAAUCUUGGACAAUGGGCGCAAGCCUGAUCCAGCCAUGCCGCGUGAGUGAAGAAGGUCUUCGGAUUGUAAAGCUCUUUUGCCAGGGACGAUAAUGACGGUACCUGGAGAAUAAGCCCCGGCAAACUUCGUGCCAGCAGCCGCCGUAA
Molecule: ribosomal RNA, 452 nt
Filed under: uncultured bacterium
Lineage: Bacteria
Description: partial 16S ribosomal RNA
Rfam family: Bacterial small subunit ribosomal RNA
Source: RNAcentral